AUUGAACGCUGGCGGCAGGCCUAACACAUGCAAGUCGAGCGGGGGUAGCAAUACCCUAGCGGCGAACGGGUGAGGAAUGCUUGGGAAUCUGCCUGGUAGUGGGGGAUAACGUUCCGAAAGGAACGCUAAUACCGCAUACGUCCUACGGGAGAAAGGGGGGGGAUCUUCGGACCUCUCGCUAUCAGAUGAGCCCAAGCGGGAUUAGCUAGUUGGUGGGGUAAAGGCCCACCAAGGCGACGAUCCCUAGCUGGUCUGAGAGGAUGAUCAGCCACACUGGAACUGAGACACGGUCCAGACUCCUACGGGAGGCAGCAGUGGGGAAUAUUGGACAAUGGGGGAAACCCUGAUCCAGCCAUGCCGCGUGUGUGAAGAAGGCCUUC
Molecule: ribosomal RNA, 380 nt
Filed under: uncultured bacterium
Lineage: Bacteria
Description: bacterial SSU rRNA
Rfam family: Bacterial small subunit ribosomal RNA
Source: RNAcentral